Molecule: long non-coding RNA, 208 nt
Filed under: Elaeis guineensis (African oil palm)
Lineage: Eukaryota; Viridiplantae; Streptophyta; Magnoliopsida; Arecales; Arecaceae
Description: long non-coding RNA (EGUI_LNC031965)
Source: RNAcentral
CUUGCAAGGUUUCUCCUUUACCCUUUCACUCUUCCCUUGAGUUUUUGUUUUGCUUCUCUUCCAUGGCUGCUUCGGGUAGAUAGUCUAGAGGCGAGAACGUGAUGGGGGACCACAGUUCUCGGACUCCAUCCGCUCGGAGGGAGAUCGAGGAUACUUCUCAGGAUGAUCCUGAAGAUGUUUCUUCUAGACAGGGGCAUCCCGAUCAUGA